Molecule: unclassified non-coding RNA, 240 nt
Filed under: soil metagenome
Description: partial contains 5.8S ribosomal RNA, internal transcribed spacer 2, and large subunit ribosomal RNA
Source: RNAcentral
AACACUGUUAACCUGCGGUACCUGCGGAAGGAUCAUUACAGAGUGUUUAACCCCCUAUAAAAUGGUGGGUCUAACCUCCCGUCCUUUGCUGGGUCCCCCUUCUGGAGGACUUUCAAAACUUUCUGCUUCGGCGGGGUAUACCCGCCGGAACACCCUCAAAAAAUUCUUGAUCAAAAUGGUUCGGUCCGAGAAACUUUUUGUGAAAAUUAGCGAAAAACUUUCAGCAAUGGAUCUCAGAUC